Molecule: ribosomal RNA, 593 nt
Filed under: Streptomyces sp. 11CM7
Lineage: Bacteria; Bacillati; Actinomycetota; Actinomycetes; Kitasatosporales; Streptomycetaceae
Description: bacterial SSU rRNA
Rfam family: Bacterial small subunit ribosomal RNA
Source: RNAcentral
AUCUGCCCUUCACUCUGGGACAAGCCCUGGAAACGGGGUCUAAUACCGGAUAACACUCUGUCCCGCAUGGGACGGGGUUGAAAGCUCCGGCGGUGAAGGAUGAGCCCGCGGCCUAUCAGCUUGUUGGUGGGGUAAUGGCCUACCAAGGCGACGACGGGUAGCCGGCCUGAGAGGGCGACCGGCCACACUGGGACUGAGACACGGCCCAGACUCCUACGGGAGGCAGCAGUGGGGAAUAUUGCACAAUGGGCGAAAGCCUGAUGCAGCGACGCCGCGUGAGGGAUGACGGCCUUCGGGUUGUAAACCUCUUUCAGCAGGGAAGAAGCGAAAGUGACGGUACCUGCAGAAGAAGCGCCGGCUAACUACGUGCCAGCAGCCGCGGUAAUACGUAGGGCGCAAGCGUUGUCCGGAAUUAUUGGGCGUAAAGAGCUCGUAGGCGGCUUGUCACGUCGGAUGUGAAAGCCCGGGGCUUAACCCCGGGUCUGCAUUCGAUACGGGCUAGCUAGAGUGUGGUAGGGGAGAUCGGAAUUCCUGGUGUAGCGGUGAAAUGCGCAGAUAUCAGGAGGAACACCGGUGGCGAAGGCGGAUCUCUG